Molecule: ribosomal RNA, 490 nt
Filed under: uncultured bacterium
Lineage: Bacteria
Description: partial 16S ribosomal RNA
Rfam family: Bacterial small subunit ribosomal RNA
Source: RNAcentral
AUUGAACGCUGGCGGCAUGCCUUACACAUGCAAGUCGAACGGCAGCAUGAUCUAGCUUGCUAGAUUGGUGGCGAGUGGCGAACGGGUGAGUAAUACAUCGGAACGUGCCCUGUAGUGGGGGAUAACUAGUCGAAAGAUUAGCUAAUACCGCAUACGACCUGAGGGUGAAAGUGGGGGACCGCAAGGCCUCAUGCUAUAGGAGCGGCCGAUGUCUGAUUAGCUAGUUGGUGAGGUAAAGGCUCACCAAGGCGACGAUCAGUAGCUGGUCUGAGAGGACGAUCAGCCACACUGGGACUGAGACACGGCCCAGACUCCUACGGGAGGCAGCAGUGGGGAAUUUUGGACAAUGGGCGAAAGCCUGAUCCAGCAAUGCCGCGUGUGUGAAGAAGGCCUUCGGGUUGUAAAGCACUUUUGUCCGGAAAGAAAUGGCUCUGGUUAAUACCUGGGGUCGAUGACGGUACCGGAAGAAUAAGGACCGGCUAACUACGUG